Molecule: unclassified non-coding RNA, 276 nt
Filed under: uncultured Xylariales
Lineage: Eukaryota; Fungi; Ascomycota; Sordariomycetes; Xylariales
Description: sequence contains 5.8S rRNA gene, ITS2, 28S rRNA gene
Source: RNAcentral
AACGCACAUUGCGCCCAUUAGUAUUCUAGUGGGCAUGCCUGUUCGAGCGUCAUUUCAACCCUUAAGCCUAGCUUAGUGUUGGGAAUCUACGUGCGGCCCUCGUUACCCUGUAGCGUGGUUACCCUGUAGUUCCUGAAAAACAACGGCGGAUUUAUAGUGUCCUCUGAGCGUAGUAAUUCUUUAUCUCGCUUCUGUUUAGGUGCUGUAGAUUCUGCCGCUAAACCCCCAAUUUUUGUGGUUGACCUCGGAUCAGGUAGGAAUACCCGCUGAACUUAA